Molecule: long non-coding RNA, 457 nt
Organism: Lagenorhynchus albirostris (white-beaked dolphin)
Lineage: Eukaryota; Metazoa; Chordata; Mammalia; Artiodactyla; Delphinidae
Exons: 3
Source: RefSeq, a predicted model, not a curated record
CCAAGAAGGACAAUCCCAGAGAACUGGGCUUGUUUUCCUUCAGGAAUCUUAUCAUCCUAUCCUCCUGUGCUUGACCAGGCCCCUUCGCUAUGCUCAGAGGUCAGCAGGCAGAAGCAAAAGGCUGGGCAGCACUGCUUGCCCACCAGAGCACAAAGAAGACUCCGAGGUGCAGACAGACACGGGCUGCCCUGGAGAACUGCUCCUGGAACAGAGCCCCUCCUCCUCUUCCACAGACAGAAAACCUUGCAGCAACUCUGAGUGUUUUUCAAAUACCACAACAAGCAGUUCUCAAGAGACAGAAAAACUCAAGGUACAGGAAUCGUGCUGAGAAAUCUGUGACAAAAGAAAGACAUGUUCUCCAUUGCUACCUUCAGCCACGCUGAGGAGGAUGGUGGAAAAGACUCUUCCAUGGGCCACAGAAGACAAUGGACAAAAGAAUCUUUCUCUAAUUGUAAAA